CGCAUGAAAUAAAGUAAAGAAAAGUAGUGUGUGGAAUGUAUAUGCAUGUGGUUUAGCUUAGUUGAAUAUGAUUUUGAUUUUGGUGAGUGUAUAGUGAAGUGAACACGAUUCCAUUGUUUAGAAAAGCUUGUUUUUGUUUUGAAUGUGGGUAAGAGUGAAGAUAGAAGUAACGUGUUGGGUUUAAGCACUUCCAAAAUUGGUUCAGAAAGAAAGGUGUGUGUGAUAAGCAA
Molecule: long non-coding RNA, 230 nt
Filed under: Phaseolus vulgaris (common bean)
Lineage: Eukaryota; Viridiplantae; Streptophyta; Magnoliopsida; Fabales; Fabaceae
Description: long non-coding RNA (PVUL_LNC001963)
Source: RNAcentral